GACGAACCGUGCGAACGUUGUUCGGAAUCACUGGGCUUAAAGGGCGCGUAGGCGGGCUUUCAAGUUUGGGGUGAAAUCCUCCGGCUCAACCGGAGAACUGCCUCGAAUACUGAAGGUCUCGAGGGGGAUAGGGGCAUGCGGAACUACGGGUGGAGCGGUGAAAUGCGUUGAUAUCCGUAGGAACUCCGGUGGCGAAGGCGGCGUGCUGGAUCCCUUCUGACGCUGAGGCGCGAAAGCCAGGGGAGCAAACGGG
RNAcentral lists this ribosomal RNA (253 nucleotides) under uncultured bacterium. RNAcentral's name for it is "partial 16S ribosomal RNA". It matches the Rfam family "Bacterial small subunit ribosomal RNA", at positions 524 to 776 of the family's 1533-position model. The record is from RNAcentral.